AAUAGAUACCCAGGUAGUCCACGCUGUAAACGUUGGACACUAGGUGUGGCGGUCUGAUCAACGACUGCCGUGCCGAAGCUAACGCAUUAAGUGUCCCGCCUGGGGAGUACGGCCGCAAGGCUAAAACUCAAAGGAAUUGACGGGUCCCCGCACAAGCGGCGGAGCAUGCGGCUUAAUUCGAUGCAACCCGAAGAACCUUACCUGGGUUUGACAUCAUGGGAAAAGCCGUGGAAACACGGUGUCCGUAAGGGCCCAUGACAGGUGGUGCAUGGCUGUCGUCAGCUCGUGUCGUGAGAUGUUGGGUUAAGUCCCGCAACGAGCGCAACCCUUGUCCUAUGUUGCCAGCGGUUCGGCCGGGGACUCAUAGGAGACUGCCGGGGAUAACUCGGAGGAAGGUGAGGACGAUGUCAAGUCAUCAUGCCCCUUAUAUCCAGGGCUGCACGCAUGCUACAAUGGUCGGUACAACGGGCAGCGAUCCUGCGAAGGUGAGCGAAUCCCACAAAGCCGGCCUCAGUUCGGAUUGG
This 524-nucleotide ribosomal RNA is filed under the name uncultured bacterium. Its description in RNAcentral is "bacterial SSU rRNA". It matches the Rfam family "Bacterial small subunit ribosomal RNA", at positions 777 to 1301 of the family's 1533-position model. The record is from RNAcentral.